This 717-nucleotide ribosomal RNA is filed under the name uncultured bacterium. RNAcentral describes it as "bacterial SSU rRNA". It matches the Rfam family "Bacterial small subunit ribosomal RNA", at positions 779 to 1498 of the family's 1533-position model. The record is from RNAcentral.
UAGAUACCCUGGUAGUCCACGCCCUAAACGAUGCACACUAGUUGUUGCUAUGCUCGACAUAGCAGUAAUGCAGUUAACACAGUAAGUGUGCCGCCUGGGGAGUACGGUCGCAAGAUUAAAACUCAAAGGAAUAGACGGGGACCCGCACAAGCGGUGGAGCAUGUGGUUUAAUUUGACGAUACGCGAAGAACCUUACCUGGCCUUGACAUAGAUAGAACUUUCCAGAGACGGAUUGGUGCUAGUUUACUAGAGCUAUCAUACAGGUGCUGCACGGCUGUCGUCAGCUCGUGUCGUGAGAUGUUGGGUUAAGUCCCGCAACGAGCGCAACCCUCGUGUUUAGUUACUAACAGUUCGGCUGAGGACUCUAAACAGACUGCCUGGGUAACCAGGAGGAAGGUGAGGACGACGUCAAGUCAUCAUGGCCCUUACGGCCAGGGCUACACACGUGCUACAAUGGGGUAUACAAAGAGCAGCAAUACGGUGACGUGGAGCAAAUCUCAUAAAAUAUCUCCCAGUUCGGAUUGAAGUCUGCAACUCGACUUCAUGAAGUUGGAAUCGCUAGUAAUCGUAGAUCAGCAAUGCUACGGUGAAUACGUUCCCGGGUCUUGUACUCACCGCCCGUCACACCAUGGGAAUUGAAUUCAUUCGAAGCGGGGAUGCUAAAAUAGCUACCUUCCACAGUGGAUUUAGUAACUAGGGUGAAGUCGUAACAAGGUA